Molecule: ribosomal RNA, 532 nt
Filed under: uncultured bacterium
Lineage: Bacteria
Description: bacterial SSU rRNA
Rfam family: Bacterial small subunit ribosomal RNA
Source: RNAcentral
GGAAUAUUGGGCAAUGGAGGAAACUCUGACCCAGCGACGCCGCGUGCGGGAUGAAGGCCUUCGGGUUGUAAACCGCUUUCAGUAGGGAAGAAGCGAAAGUGACGGUACCUACAGAAGAAGCACCGGCUAACUAUGUGCCAGCAGCCGCGGUAAUACAUAGGGUGCAAGCGUUGUCCGGAAUUAUUGGGCGUAAAGAGCUCGUAGGUGGUUUGAUACGUCGGGUGUGAAAUUCAGGGGCUCAACCCCUGACCUGCAUUCGAUACGGUCAAGCUAGAGUUUGGUAGGGGAGACUGGAAUUCCUGGUGUAGCGGUGGAAUGCGCAGAUAUCAGGAGGAACACCGAUGGCGAAGGCAGGUCUCUGGGCCAAUACUGACACUGAGGAGCGAAAGCGUGGGGAGCGAACAGGAUUAGAUACCCUGGUAGUCCACGCCGUAAACGAUGGGCGCUAGUUGUGCGAACCUUCCACGGUUUGUGCGACGCAGCUAACGCAUUAAGCGCCCCGCCUGGGGAGUACGAUCGCAAGAUUAAAACU